UUCAAACCAGAGAAAUUCCAUCUUUAAAAAUUCAUCAAAUAUAUGUAACCAAAUGAGAAUUUUGAACUGAGAUUCAUACUCUCAGCUUUGAAUUGCACAUAGAAAUGAAAACAUAAUUUUCUUUGGUGUGUUUUGUUAAAUGGCAACUAUAAAAUAUUAUAAAAUGAAUAAGAUGCACAUGCUUAGAAAACAAAAACUUUGAAAGCCAUCAGUGCAGAAAUGAAAAUGCCUGUUUGAUAGUAUGUAGAAGACUAUAACAAUAAUAUUAUGUUAUAAAGAUGUGAGACAUAUCUUUCUUGAAAGUAUAAGCCAAAGAGCAGCUGCAGUCAGAGUCAUCAGAAUGCCAUGAAAUUUGUAAAAGAGGGGACUUGUCAACAGUGUCUGCCAUGGUCUGUUUGAACACAGCUGCAAUUGGGAUUUUCAAGCUGACCCCCAUCUGGUAGGAUGAUGAUGCCUUCUGGAAGAUUCUCGACAGAGCCCAAAUGACCAACAGAGUAGGUCAAAAGCAGAAGGACAGAUGAUAAAAUGCCAAAAAAGGGAGUUUCAACCAGACAAGAGUUUAGGAGAGUAUUUUGAUGGAAAGAAGAUAGCAACCAUAGGACUCGGUUGUAGACAUCCAGAAGAUGGUGCAAAACAGUAGCUGCAUUUCAGCAGAAGCCCAAUGGAUGUGGAAAACAAUGGCUUAACAGAGGUAACAGGCUGCCAUGAGCUUCAUAAAAACAAAUUCAUGACACUAAUUGACUUAUUUAAUAUGAGAAGAAUCAAGAUUUUCACACUCAAGUUGAGGACAUACUUAAAUUAGCCAACCAAAUAAAGGUAUGUAAUACAACAAUACCCUUUUUGGAAGCUAGGGAAGCAGUAUUUUUUACUGGUAGAGAUCAAAAAAUUUUCCCUAAGUGAGUGUUGUAUACUUUGUGAAUGUGUGAAUAUAUGAAUGAGUCAGAGGGCAAGUCUUUAGGAAUUUUCUUUGUAACUCUGAGUAAAACAGUAGUGUCAAUAUUCCCUUGGGUUAAUGUAAGCAGAUCUGCUAUUAAUACUAGGCAAAAAAAGGAAAUAAUUCUUGAACUUUCUCAUAUUUUAUAUAUUAUGGUAAAUUAUGCUGAAUGAAUUUUAAAAAUUAGUAAUUGUGAAAUGUAAAUUUAAUUUUCUUAAAAUAUAUCAGGACUAUACUAUAGUUUAAAAUUCAUGAAAAAUUAUAAGAAGUUUACAUUUAUUGACAAAAAUUAAAACUAUAGAACUCUUGAAUCACCAAACCUAAUUUCAUACUUCGGCGAUAAUUCUGUGUGAACAGUAUUUCCAAAGAGAUGAAUUAAUGUAUGUAGCCUAUUAAAGUUCCUUGUGAGAGUGAGAUAAUUCUAUAAAUACAUAAAGAAGUUUAUAAUUAAACAAAACAACUUUCAUUAUAUAUUGACACUGCAUGAUUAAUAACUGCUUUCUAAAUUUGUGAUGCUUACUAUAUAUACUUGUAUUACAUUUCAAAUAUUAACAUAAUUUUCUCAACAUAUAUUUAAACAUGUGUUUUCUAUAAGAUACAUGCUAGAUAGUGUAAGUCUCUACAUGAAGCCGAAACUGUAGAACCUUCUCCUUUUAGGGAAUUUAUACUACAAUUUUAGACUGCCUUCUGAUGUUAAUUUAAACUUAUUUCAAAUAGAAUACUUAAUUAGUAAAACAAAUCCAACUCUACAGCAUGUUUGGAUGAAAAAACAAUAAAGACUGCAUCCAGAGAAAAAACACCCAAUAUAGAAAACAACAAUUUUAUAUAUCUUUCUCUACUUAUAUUCUUACCAUUCUGUUUUAUAAUUCCAAGUUGGAUCUAUUUCUGUACUCAAAAACAGAAUAGUAUUUGCCACUCUUCAAAGACAGGAUGCUUUUUUAGAAAUUUGUGUCUUUUUUUCAUAUGGUUUUCUCUUUCCGUCUUCCACCUAUUAAACAUAGAUAGCAUUCAAUACCUUGGUUAAGUAUGAUAUUUUAUGUGAAGCUUUCUGUGACCAUAAAAGAUCAUUAAAUUUCUUCCUCCUUUGAAUUUUAUAUAUUUGCG
RNAcentral lists this long non-coding RNA (2038 nucleotides) under Homo sapiens (human). RNAcentral's name for it is "HSALNT0205150". The record is from RNAcentral. Lineage: Eukaryota; Metazoa; Chordata; Mammalia; Primates; Hominidae.